CUGUGAGCUCGAUGAGUAGGGCGGGACACGUGGUAUCCUGUCUGAAUAUGGGGGGACCAUCCUCCAAGGCUAAAUACUCCUGACUGACCGAUAGUGAACCAGUACCGUGAGGGAAAGGCGAAAAGAACCCCGGCGAGGGGAGUGAAAAAGAACCUGAAACCGUGUACGUACAAGCAGUGGGAGCACGCUUAGGCGUGUGACUGCGUACCUUUUGUAUAAUGGGUCAGCGACUUAUAUUCUGUAGCAAGGUUAACCGAAUAGGGGAGCCGAAGGGAAACCGAGUCUUAACUGGGCGUUAAGUUGCAGGGUAUAGACCCGAAACCCGGUGAUCUAGCCAUGGGCAGGUUGAAGGUUGGGUAA
This 360-nucleotide ribosomal RNA is filed under the name Escherichia coli. RNAcentral's name for it is "bacterial LSU rRNA". It matches the Rfam family "Bacterial large subunit ribosomal RNA", at positions 397 to 759 of the family's 2925-position model. Lineage: Bacteria; Pseudomonadati; Pseudomonadota; Gammaproteobacteria; Enterobacterales; Enterobacteriaceae. The record is from RNAcentral.